GGAGAGAUGGCAGAGUGGUCGAUUGCGGCGGUCUUGAAAACCGUUGAACUGAAAGGUUCCGUGGGUUCAAAUCCUACUCUCUCCG
Molecule: transfer RNA, 85 nt
Filed under: Tannerellaceae bacterium
Lineage: Bacteria; Pseudomonadati; Bacteroidota; Bacteroidia; Bacteroidales; Tannerellaceae
Description: tRNA-Ser
Rfam family: tRNA
About the family: Transfer RNA (tRNA) molecules are approximately 80 nucleotides in length. Their secondary structure includes four short double-helical elements and three loops (D, anti-codon, and T loops).
Source: RNAcentral